Styela clava is the source of this 513-nucleotide non-coding RNA. Lineage: Eukaryota; Metazoa; Chordata; Ascidiacea; Stolidobranchia; Styelidae. The record is from RefSeq and is a predicted model, not a curated record.
AUUAUUGUUUGGCAAUAAUAUUGUUGCCACAUGUGGGCGCUGUUAAGUCGAGUUCGCCGCCAUUAAUGGAUAUUGCACCAUACUUUGCUGCUGUUUUGCUGCCAAGUCAAGUUUUUAAAGUUUCUUUGUGUUGGUAUUAUUGUGAUUUAAUUAUUGCUGUUUAUUGUGUUUAUCUUGUAGAUGACUUAGACAUCUAAAUAAGUUAGUUACUGGAUUUUAUUGGGUUGUUGCCCUUGGUGUUAAGAUAUUGUGCCGUACAUUUGUUACUGUGAAGAAAGUGUACUGAUGUUUCCAGAAUGUAUUAUGCAAUGAUUUUUGGAUUGUGAAGUAUUCUCGUGGAUUCACAAAGUUUUCUUACCCGGUGUCAUAAAUAUUAUCGAAAACCGUCUUCCAUCUUUCAUUUCCGUCUAUUGUGAUGUUUGUGUAUUGCUGAGCAUUUCAUGUUAUGCUAUCAAUUCUUCGAAUUACAAUUUCAUUACAAGUUUUCAACAAUUGGUUGUGUUUGGACAAGGA